CAUCUGUGAUUGCAACGUGACUAUCUACCAAUACUUUUUAUUUACCUCUGCCCAAAUGUGCAGCUGUUUCCCGGGUGGGAGAGUAAGCGAACAGUAAAAAUCAGACAAAAUAACAUUGCUGCGUAGGCUUUUAUGAAAACAGAACGAGUAAGUAUAUCUAUAAAGACUGGCCUAGCACCUGUACAAACCAAGUAUUUGGUAGCUUAGCCAGGGCUGCCACUAACUUCCAUGAUAGAGUAGCCCGAGGCAACUUACAUGGUGUGCUGAGCAGAGGCGAGUUGGACAUUCAGACAUUCUUUGGUCCUUCUGGAGAAAAUAAAUGAAUACUACUUUCUGGCUCCCUAUGGAAGGAGUCCUGUUUCUCUCCCCAAAAUGGACUCCUAGGUUUACCAACCCCAUACUUCAGAAAGUUACACCUUUUGAACAGAACAAUGGCUCUGUCUGCAUUUCCACUGCCAGCAUUAAUUGACCCAGAGAAUAAGUAGGCUUGUGGAUUUGAAAUUAUUUGGGGGAAGGAUUUUCUGAGUUUUGUGGAGUAACCUUUGAUAUUUCCAUAGUAUAAUGCAAUUUUGUUUUAAGCUGCUUUCCUUACCUUGGUAGCUAGUCUCCAAAGGUGGCCCUGCAAUGAGCCAUGCCUCUUGGUAUUUACACUUUUGUGUAGACUCUUCCCUCCUUGAAUCUAGGCAGGCUUUAUGUAACUGAUAGAAUAUGGUAGAAGUGACAUUUGUGAUUUCUGAGAUUAGGUCAUAAUGAGCCGAGUAGCCUCUGCCUCAGGUUCUUUGAAAGCUUGCUCUGGGGAAAGCUAGCUGCUACAGAAGAAGUUCAACUACUGUAAGACCACCAUGCUGUGAUGAAGGCCAAGCUAUCCAUGUUGAGAGGCUACAUGAAAAAAAGAGACCCCAGCCACCCCCCAGCAAUUCCAGCCAUCUAGGUGAAGUGUUGAUAUGUAGAGAAGCAGCCAUCUUGUUCAUCCAGACAAGUUGAGCCUUCAGGUUGAGCCAUCAUCUGACUGCAACUGUGUAAAACCCAAGCAAAAAGUGCCCAGCUGAGCCCAGUCAACCUGCAGCUAUAAGAGAUUAUAGUAAAUUAUUAUUUUAAGCCACUUUGUUUUAGGGUUAUUAGGAAGCACCGAUAGAUACACUCGUGAUUCUCGAAAGCUCCUGGUGCAGUUACAACACACACAAAUCCAAGCCACAGAUGAGGGUUGUAAGCUGCUUCUUUACAUUAAAUUAGAUUUUAUGACAGAUAUACAAAUCAGGAUUAAUUGAAAUCUAUAUGCAAAAGUUUGUAAUUCUUUCCAUUUUUUUUAAACAGCAGGAGAAAUAUUCUAACACCAUCUAACAUUGUAUUACAUAUUUGUCUAUUUGUUGCCUGCCUUCCCUUUUUAAAUAUAUGCUCCAAGAUGGCAGUGAUUUCAUCUGUUUUAUUAUUCUUUCUAUCCUCAAUGCUGGCUACAGUGCUUGAUUUACAGUAGGUCUAUAGUAAAUAUUUGUUGAAUUAAUAAACACUUAAGAGAGAUAAAUGUAUUACAGGUGAAGUUAAUAUGUUAUAAACAUACAUUUUUUUUUACUGCCUUUCACACACUUUCUAAAAUCUUUAAAAGUGUAAUAGUUUUAUAAUCAGGAAAAAUGUUAUUUAAUAAAAUUAAGUUAGAACAUUGAUAUACCUAUUUUUUCCUAUAUAUCCCAUCCAAGACCACAAAAUUGAAGUCUUUCCAUUCCUUCUCAACAAAUUCAGUAUGUCUCAUGUGGAUUUGUUCUAGUCACAGCUUUUCCAACCUCCAGUAGAGUCAUAGUAUAGCACUUCUGCCCACACAAAGAACAAAAUAAAAAUAGAAGUAAUUCAUUUAUAGCUGAAGCAAAUUCCUAGAAGAGUUUCUGGUGAUCAGAUCACUGAAGGGUAGUUUGCAGAGUCAUGGACACUGAUAAGAUGAAGCAUUCCUUGGUUGUAAUCUGAGUUUCCCAAAGAAGGCAGCAAAUACUCUGUUUAUAUUGAUGUAGACGCAAACUUUCUAGCCCACUGUGAAAGUUGUAAAUGAUAGCAAGUUCUUGUUGGCUUAUACCUCCGAGAUCCACAUGAAAAUGCUUUGAAACUCAUUAGAAGAUGAAAGGGAAAAUGUUUGCCUCUUUCCCAGACAGAGACAGAGAAACUCCAUUGCAGAGGUAGCACCCAGGGGGAAGGAGCAGGGCCCUCCACUUCCACAUUCUGAAUGUUUUCUUAGCAAAAUGGUGACAACACCACCUGUUGUACCUAUCCUUCUGUGAUUUACUGUGAUAAAGAAAUGUAACUAAGUUUAUGUAAAAAUGCAUUUUCCUACAUGAUAAGUGGUACUCAAAACCAAAUAUGCUCAUGGUAAAGAAUAGUAAGAAUUCCAGUUCCAUCUAUAGAUGGCAUUACCUCUUUGGGUCACUCUUGUUGGUUCUCCAAAUGCUCCAUCUUGGGGAAGUAAGCCUUAUUUAAUGCUGAAAGUACUUCUAAGAACCUAGAUUAGCCUCACUGAUGACCGCACACAGAAUUUAUGUACCAUAAAGUCUCCCUCAAACUUGACUUUCCUUCUAGAUUUCCUAUCUGCGUUUAUGGCUAGAAGCAAUGGAAUCCUCCUUAUUUCCUCUUUCUGCAUAUCCUUCACCUGGAAAUUCUUUUCAACUAACCCUCAAAAAAAGUCCUCAGUCUCUAAUUUCUCUCCUUUUCCAGUGUUUAGCCCAGGAUUCAGGAUCUUUACCAUGACUAAUGCACCAAUCAGCCUCCUAAUUCCAUGUCUAACAGAUGCUUUCUGUACAUCUUUCCCACCAGAUUAGGAAGUGGCCUUUAAAAAUGAAGAACAAGUUCUAUAGGCCUUUAGACUUCCCAGAAAGCAUUUCUUGUGAUAGGUGCUUAAUAAACGAUUCUUCAUUGAUAAAUGAUUCUUGCUCACUGGUUUGCUUGCUUGACUGAGAAGUAAUACUUGGCAUGGAAAAAGCACUGGGCCUGUGAAACAGAAGAUGUGGGUUAUGGCCUUUUGUAUCAGUUAUGUAUGGCUGUGUAACAAAUCAUUGCAAAUCUUGAUGGCUUAAGAUAAUGCUCAUUUAUUUUUUCACCCGUUUUCUAUGGAUCAGGAAUUUGAACAGUAGUGUGGGUACUUGUCUUUCCUCUGUAACGUCUGGGCCUCAGGAAGAUUUGAAGUUGGGGGUAAUGCAGCAGCUAGGGACUGGAAUCAUCUGGAAAUCUCUUCAUUCACAUGGGUGGUGGUUGAGCCUGGCAGUCCCCUGCUGGCUACCAGCCAGCACACCUACACAACAUGGCCUCCCAAUGUAGCCUCUGCUUGGGCCUAUUUGGGCCACCUCGCAGCAUGGCGGUGGCAACUGGGUUCUAAAAACAAGUGAUCCAAGACAACCAGUUGGAACAUUGUUACUUUCAUGGCC
This 3401-nucleotide long non-coding RNA is filed under the name Sus scrofa (pig). RNAcentral's name for it is "lncRNA (ENSSSCG00015049338.1)". Lineage: Eukaryota; Metazoa; Chordata; Mammalia; Artiodactyla; Suidae. The record is from RNAcentral.